RNAcentral lists this ribosomal RNA (486 nucleotides) under uncultured bacterium. Its description in RNAcentral is "partial 16S ribosomal RNA". It matches the Rfam family "Bacterial small subunit ribosomal RNA", at positions 28 to 507 of the family's 1533-position model. The record is from RNAcentral.
GACGAACGCUGGCGGCGUGCUUAACACAUGCAAGUCGAACGCUGAAGCCCUGGCUUUUGUUGGGUUGGAUGAGUGGCGAACGGGUGAGUAACACGUGAGUAACCUGCCCUCUUCUUUGGGAUAACGCCCGGAAACGGGUGCUAAUACUGGAUAUUCACUGAUCUUCGCAUGGGGGUUGGUGGAAAGGUUUGUUCUGGUGGGGGAUGGGCUCGCGGCCUAUCAGCUUGUUGGUGGGGUGAUGGCCUACCAAGGCUUUGACGGGUAGCCGGCCUGAGAGGGUGACCGGUCACAUUGGGACGGAGAUACGGCCCAGACUCCUACGGGAGGCAGCAGUGGGGAAUAUUGCACAAUGGGCGAAAGCCUGAGGCAGCGACGCCGCGUGAGGGAUGGAGGCCUUCGGGUUGUAAACCUCUUUCGCUCAUGGUCAAGCCGCAACUGUGGGUUGUGGUGAGGGUAGUGGGUAAAGAAGCGCCGGCUAACUACGUG